Molecule: ribosomal RNA, 1016 nt
Filed under: uncultured bacterium
Lineage: Bacteria
Description: bacterial SSU rRNA
Rfam family: Bacterial small subunit ribosomal RNA
Source: RNAcentral
GAUAAAUGCUGGCGGCGUGCCUAACACAUGCAAGUCGAGCGGCAGCGCGAAUAGUUUACUAUUUGGCGGCGAGCGGCGGACGGCUGAGUAACGCGUGGGAACGUACCCCAAAGUGAGGAAUAACUGCCCGAAAGGGUGGCUAAUGCCGCAUAUGGUCUUCGGAUUAAAGGAUUUAUCCGCUUUGGGAACGGCCUGCGUACGAUUAGAUAGUUGGUGAGGUAAAGGCUCACCAAGUCAACGAUCGUUAACUGGUCUGAGAGGAUGAUCAGUCAGACUGGAACUGAGAUACGGUCCAGACUCCUACGGGAGGCAGCAGUGAGGAAUCUUCCACAAUGGGCGAAAGCCUGAUGGAGCAACGCCGCGUGCAGGAUGAAGGCCUUCGGGUCGUAAACUGCUUUUAUAAGUGAAGAAUUUGACGGUAGCUUAUGAAUAAGCACCGGCUAACUACGUGCCAGCAGCCGCGGUCAUACGUAGGGUGCAAGCAUUAUCCGGAGUGACUGGGCGUAAAGAGUUGCGUAGGUGGUUUGUUAAGUGAAUAGUGAAAUCUGGUGGCUCAACCACUCAGACUAUUAUUCAAACUGGCAAACUCGAGAGUAGCAGAGGUAACUGGAAUUUCUAGUGUAGGAGUGAAAUCCGUAGAUAUUAGAAGGAACACCAAUGGCGUAAGCAGGUUACUAGGCUAUUUCUGACACUAAGGCACGAAAGCGUGGGGAGCGAACCGGAUUAGAUACCCGGGUAGUCCACGCCGUAAACUAUGGAUACUAGCUGUUGGAGGUAUCGACCCCUUCAGUAGCGAAGCUAACGCGUUAAGUAUCCCGCCUGUGUAGUACGGUCGCAAGACUAAAACAUAAAGGAAUUGACGGGGACCCGCACAAGCGGUGGAGCGUGUUCUUUAAUUCGACACUAAUCGAAGAACCUUACCAGGGUUUGACAUUCUUGGAAUCUUUUCGAAAGUUAAGAGUGCUUUAUUGAGCCAAGUGACAGGUGAUGCAUGGCCGUCGUCAGCUCGUGUCGUG